Molecule: long non-coding RNA, 214 nt
Filed under: Lathyrus oleraceus (garden pea)
Lineage: Eukaryota; Viridiplantae; Streptophyta; Magnoliopsida; Fabales; Fabaceae
Description: Pisum sativum (pea) long non-coding RNA (PSAT_LNC008351)
Source: RNAcentral
AAUUGUCCUGAUAUUUAAAUACAAUUGUUAAUCUGGACCAUGAUGAAAAUUGUUUAAUUUUUAUUAAAAAAUAGAAAUUAAGGAAACACACUUUUUUGUAAUGAUAAAACAUAAAAUUAUUGGUGUUGAUAUUUGAUGUGUGCCUCUCCUUCACAUAUCUCAACAGUUUUUUAGUUAGACAAUGGUGAUAUGUGAUUUAAAAAAAAAAUGAAAG